RNAcentral lists this ribosomal RNA (387 nucleotides) under Triticum aestivum (bread wheat). Its description in RNAcentral is "partial small subunit ribosomal RNA". Lineage: Eukaryota; Viridiplantae; Streptophyta; Magnoliopsida; Poales; Poaceae. The record is from RNAcentral.
AACAUCACAACUACCAUCACUUCUAAUUGUUCCUUGACGGGUUGCAUUGAUGAAAGUGAGGGGACGGAGGAGGAGGAAAAUGAGUUUGAGUCUUUUAUGAGUAAGCUCAAGGGUAAAUCCAAGAAGCACUUCGUUGCUCUGUUGGAACAACUUGGUGAAGCCAAUGACAUGAUCGAGGCUCACGAAGACACCAUCUCUAAGAUGGAAGGGCAUAGUCGUGACUAUGCCGAUGAGAUAUCAGAUCUCUCUAAUGCGCUCGAGGAAGAGUGUGGUCAUCGUUUGACUCUUGAGGAGUCACACAACGAUGAUCAUGCUAAAUUAAAGAAAGAUCUUGAUCAUGCUCUUGUUGUUUCUCGUGUGCUCAAUUCCGAGAAGGCCAAACUUGGG